GGAGAAGACAUAGACUAUGAUGACCUGGUCCGCAGAGGACAUCUGGCUGCUUCUAAGGUGAUCAUACUCCAGGUCUGUCACUUUCAGGAUGCUGUGAGAGCUACAUUGGCACGUGUGCCCUGUGUCCCUGCACAGUGUUCUCCUUAGGACCAUGGGACAAACCAGCUGGGAAGCAAACCAGGUAAACACAGCGUGGCAACAUCAGGUUCCUGGAGUGGCAUUCUGAGCAUCCCUGAAUAAUUCUGAUGUGUCAGCUGGUGUCUGUGGAAUCACUAAAAGUCAAGUUUCAAGCUACAACCCUCUACCUCUGCUCAAAAAGGCAUUUUAAGUCCUUGCUUUGAGCAAAGCUUCCAACCUCCUGCCUCAAACACAUGGCAAUGAGAGGUAAAAGAGAAAAAGAAGCAAUCUAAAGGACAAAGCUGCACUCCAACCAAGAUGAACACCCUGUGCAUGGAAGCCAAAUCAAUAGAUUUGCGGGGCUGAAGCCACAGGCUUGCUUGGCUCUAGGUCUAGAAGCAGCGAAAGCAGAUAUGAAUUUAGCUCUUGUGGGAAAACAGAAUAAAAUAAAAUGCCCCUCUCCAGGCUGGAGAGCAGGGUGGGG
Molecule: long non-coding RNA, 601 nt
Filed under: Homo sapiens (human)
Lineage: Eukaryota; Metazoa; Chordata; Mammalia; Primates; Hominidae
Description: HSALNT0193432
Source: RNAcentral